AUACGGAAGAUCCAAGCGUUAUCCGGAUUUAUUGGGUUUAAAGGGAGCGUAGGCGGAAGUUCAAGUCAGUUGUGAAAGUCUGUGGCUUAACCAUAGAAUUGCAGUUGAAACUGAAUUUCUUGAGUGUAGAUAAGGAUGGUGGAAUUUGUGGUGUAGCGGUGAAAUGCAUAGAUAUCACGAAGAACUCCAAUUGCGAAGGCAGCCAUCCGGGCUACAACUGACGCUGAGGCUCGAAAGUGCGGGAAUCAAACAGGAUUAGAUACCCUGGUAGUCCGCACCGUAAACGAUGGAUACUCGUGGUUGGCGAUAAACAGUCAGUCACCAAGCGAAAGCGUUAAGUAUCCCACCUGGGGAGUACGCCGGCAACGGUGAA
Molecule: ribosomal RNA, 373 nt
Filed under: uncultured bacterium
Lineage: Bacteria
Description: bacterial SSU rRNA
Rfam family: Bacterial small subunit ribosomal RNA
Source: RNAcentral